GAUGAACGCUGGCGGCGUGCCUAAUACAUGCAAGUCGAGCGAACAGACGAGGAGCUUGCUCCUCUGACGUUAGCGGCGGACGGGUGAGUAACACGUGGAUAACCUACCUAUAAGACUGGGAUAACUUCGGGAAACCGGAGCUAAUACCGGAUAAUAUAUUGAACCGCAUGGUUCAAUAGUGAAAGACGGUUUUGCUGUCACUUAUAGAUGGAUCCGCGCCGCAUUAGCUAGUUGGUAAGGUAACGGCUUACCAAGGCGACGAUGCGUAGCCGACCUGAGAGGGUGAUCGGCCACACUGGAACUGAGACACGGUCCAGACUCCUACGGGAGGCAGCAGUAGGGAAUCUUCCGCAAUGGGCGAAAGCCUGACGGAGCAACGCCGCGUGAGUGAUGAAGGUCUUCGGAUCGUAGAACUCUGUUAUUAGGGAAGAACAAAUGUGUAAGUAACUAUGCACGUCUUGACGGUACCUAAUCAGAAAGCCACGGCUAACUACGU
This 496-nucleotide ribosomal RNA is filed under the name uncultured bacterium. RNAcentral's name for it is "partial 16S ribosomal RNA". It matches the Rfam family "Bacterial small subunit ribosomal RNA", at positions 28 to 506 of the family's 1533-position model. The record is from RNAcentral.